CGAACACGGAAGUUAAGCUCCUCAGCGCCGAUGGUACUGCGCGGGGGGCCGCGUGGGAGAGUAGGUCGUCGCCGAGA
Molecule: ribosomal RNA, 77 nt
Filed under: Deltaproteobacteria bacterium
Lineage: Bacteria; Pseudomonadati; Myxococcota; Myxococcia
Source: RNAcentral